RNAcentral lists this ribosomal RNA (254 nucleotides) under uncultured bacterium. RNAcentral describes it as "partial 16S ribosomal RNA". It matches the Rfam family "Bacterial small subunit ribosomal RNA", at positions 524 to 776 of the family's 1533-position model. The record is from RNAcentral.
UACGAAGGGGGCUAGCGUUGCUCGGAAUCACUGGGCGUAAAGGGCGCGUAGGCGGCCGAUUAAGUCGGGGGUGAAAGCCUGUGGCUCAACCACAGAAUUGCCCUUCGAUACUGGUUGGCUUGAGACCGGAAGAGGACAGCGGAACUGCGAGUGUAGAGGUGAAAUUCGUAGAUAUUCGCAAGAACACCAGUGGCGAAGGCGGCUGUCUGGUCCGGUUCUGACGCUGAGGCGCGAAAGCGUGGGGAGCAAACAGG